GACGAACGCUUGCGGCGUGCUUAACACAUGCAAGUCGAACGGAAAGGCCCUGCUUUUGUGGGGUGCUCGAGUGGCGAACGGGUGAGUAACACGUGAGUAACCUGCCCUUGACUUUGGGAUAACUUCAGGAAACUGGGGCUAAUACCGGAUAGGAGCUCCUGCUGCAUGGUGGGGGUUGGAAAGUUUCGGCGGUUGGGGAUGGACUCGCGGCUUAUCAGCUUGUUGGUGGGGUAGUGGCUUACCAAGGCUUUGACGGGUAGCCGGCCUGAGAGGGUGACCGGCCACAUUGGGACUGAGAUACGGCCCAGACUCCUACGGGAGGCAGCAGUGGGGAAUAUUGCACAAUGGGCGGAAGCCUGAUGCAGCAACGCCGCGUGCGGGAUGACGGCCUUCGGGUUGUAAACCGCUUUCGCCUGUGACGAAGCGUGAGUGACGGUAAUGGGUAAAGAAGCACCGGCUAACUACGUGCCAGCAGCCGCGGUGAUACGUAGGGUGCGAGCGUUGUCCGGAUUUAUUGGGCGUAAAGGGCUCGUAGGUGGUUGAUCGCGUCGGAAGUGUAAUCUUGGGGCUUAACCCUGAGCGUGCUUUCGAUACGGGUUGACUUGAGGAAGGUAGGGGAGAAUGGAAUUCCUGGUGGAGCGGUGGAAUGCGCAGAUAUCAGGAGGAACACCAGUGGCGAAGGCGGUUCUCUGGGCCUUUCCUGACGCUGAGGAGCGAAAGCGUGGGGAGCGAACAGGCUUAGAUACCCUGGUAGUCCACGCUGUAAACGGUGGGUACUAGGUGUGGGGUCCAUUCCACGGGUUCCGUGCCGUAGCUAACGCUUUAAGUACCCCGCCUGGGGAGUACGGCCGCAAGGCUAAAACUCAAAGGAAUUGACGGGGCCCCGCACAAGCGGCGGAGCAUGCGGAUUAAUUCGAUGCAACGCGUAGAACCUUACCUGGGUUUGACAUGGAUCGGGAGUGCUCAGAGAUGGGUGUGCCUCUUUUGGGGUCGGUUCACAGGUGGUGCAUGCCUGUCGUCAGCUCGUGUCGUGAGAUGUUGGGUUAAGUCCCGCAACGAGCGCAACCCUUGUUCACUGUCGCCAGCACGUUAUGGUGGGGACUCAGUGGAGACCGCCGGGGUCAACUCGGAGGAAGGUGGGGAUGACGUCAAGUCCUCAUGCCCCUUAUGUCCAGGGCUUCACGCAUGCUACAAUGGCUGGUACAGAGAGUGGCGAGCCUGUGAGGGUGAGCGAAUCUCGGAAAGCCGGUCUCAGUUCGGAUUGGGGUCUGCAACUCGACCUCAUGAAGUCGGAGUCGCUAGUAAUCGCAGAUCAGCAACGCUGCGGUGAAUACGUUCCCGGG
This 1343-nucleotide ribosomal RNA is filed under the name uncultured bacterium. RNAcentral describes it as "16S ribosomal RNA". It matches the Rfam family "Bacterial small subunit ribosomal RNA", at positions 28 to 1378 of the family's 1533-position model. The record is from RNAcentral.